UAACUGGUAAACACCUUUAUAAGGAUGAGUUUUAACUUUCCUUUUUUGCUUCUUAGGGAGACAGAGGUCCAGUUGGUUUCAAUGGGACUCGAGGAGAUAGGGGAUGUGCAGGUGACAGAGGCCGUAAGGGAUCUAGGGGUCAUCAGGGAAGUCAGGGUGAGCACGGUGAGAGUGGAUUUGAUGGCACUGAUGGAGAGCAGGUAAUCUUUGUUUGAAUCAUUAAUUAGCAAUUAGAGAAACUUAUUUC
Molecule: long non-coding RNA, 247 nt
Filed under: Coturnix japonica (Japanese quail)
Lineage: Eukaryota; Metazoa; Chordata; Aves; Galliformes; Phasianidae
Description: lncRNA (ENSCJPG00005000808.1)
Source: RNAcentral